AAAAGGACUUCGGUUUGCUUCGGGAUGGACUCGCGUCCAAUUAGCUAGUUGGUGAGGUAACGGCCCACCAAGGCGACGAUCGGUAGCCGGACUGAGAGGUUGAACGGCCACAUUGGGACUGAGACACGGCCCAGACUCCUACGGGAGGCAGCAGUGGGGAAUAUUGGACAAUGGGCGAAAGCCUGAUCCAGCCAUGCCGCGUGAAUGAUGAAGGCCCUAGGGUUGUAAAAUUCUUUCAG
Molecule: ribosomal RNA, 239 nt
Filed under: Cyclophora tenuis
Lineage: Eukaryota; Bacillariophyta; Fragilariophyceae; Cyclophorales; Cyclophoraceae
Description: partial Bacterial small subunit ribosomal RNA
Rfam family: Bacterial small subunit ribosomal RNA
Source: RNAcentral